Molecule: long non-coding RNA, 386 nt
Organism: Camarhynchus parvulus
Lineage: Eukaryota; Metazoa; Chordata; Aves; Passeriformes; Thraupidae
Exons: 3
Source: RefSeq, a predicted model, not a curated record
GAACUACUGAGGGGCCCAAGCUGAAAGAAAUAAAGACUUCCAGUACAUCACCCUGACAGUAAAGAACCAAGAAAAAGUGAAGUCUGAGUCGUUUCUUAAUGUUUGCAAACACUGUCGCUCAGAUGCAAGAAGUGCCAUUGCCCCAUUUUACAGAUGAGGAGACAGUGGCUGGCUGAGAAAGAAGUAACUGAAGUCUGUGUGCUCAAGUGACUACAGCAGUAAGACUGGACAGAGAGAGUGUGUGUCUCUGCAAGGACAAGGAGUAUUUUAGCAGGAGGCAGAUGUGAGAGGAUUUAGAGGAUAUUAUAGAAAAAUCCUUGUAGUGCUCGAGCUGUUACAUGGCUGCUGUAAAACAGCAAACAGGUUAGAGGCUAUAACCACAAGGA